This 412-nucleotide unclassified non-coding RNA is filed under the name soil metagenome. RNAcentral's name for it is "partial contains 5.8S ribosomal RNA, internal transcribed spacer 2, and large subunit ribosomal RNA". The stretch from base 1 to 122 matches the Rfam family "5.8S ribosomal RNA", at positions 35 to 154 of the family's 154-position model. The record is from RNAcentral.
GAUGAAGAACGUAGCGAAAUGCGAUACUUGGUGUGAAUUGCAGAAUCCCGUGAACCAUCGAGUCUUUGAACGCAAGUUGCGCCCGAAGCCGUCAGGCCGAGGGCACGCCUGCCUGGGCGUCACACGCCGUUGCCCCCCCGCGCCCCGCACCCAACUCUUUGGGAGCGACCGCGGGGCGGGCUGAUGAUGGCCUCCCGUGCGCUCCGCCGCGCGGUUGGCCCAAAUACCGAGUCCCCGGCGACGUGCGCCACGACGAUCGGUGGUUGAGAGACCUCUGUCGCAAGUCGUGCGCGCCCGUCGCGUCACGCGGGCUCGCAUAGCGCCUCGCGCCGCACCCGGUGCGGAGCUCUCAACGCGACCCCAGGUCAGGCGGGGUUACCCGCUGAAUUUAAGCAUAUCAAUAAGCGGAGGA